RNAcentral lists this ribosomal RNA (301 nucleotides) under uncultured bacterium. RNAcentral describes it as "partial 16S ribosomal RNA". It matches the Rfam family "Bacterial small subunit ribosomal RNA", at positions 509 to 809 of the family's 1533-position model. The record is from RNAcentral.
CAGUCGCCGCGGUAAUACGAAGGUCCCGAGCGUUGUUCGGAAUCACUGGGCGUAAAGGGAGCGUAGGCGGCGUGGUAAGUCAGAUGUGAAAUCCCGGGGCUCAACCCCGGAACUGCAUCCGAUACUGCCAUGCUAGAGGAUUGGAGAGGCAGCUGGAAUUCUUGGUGUAGCAGUGAAAUGCGUGGAGAUCAAGAGGAACACUCGUGGCGAAAGCGAGCUACUGGACAAUAACUGACGCUGAGGCUCGAAGGCCAGGGUAGCGAAAGGGAUUAGAUACCCCCGUAGUCCCUGUCUCUUAUAA